This 253-nucleotide ribosomal RNA is filed under the name uncultured bacterium. Its description in RNAcentral is "partial 16S ribosomal RNA". It matches the Rfam family "Bacterial small subunit ribosomal RNA", at positions 524 to 776 of the family's 1533-position model. The record is from RNAcentral.
UACGUAGGGUGCGAGCGUUAAUCGGAAUUACUGGGCGUAAAGCGUGCGUAGGCGGUCCGCGAAGUCUGAUGUGAAAGCCCCGGGCUCAACCUGGGAACUGCAUUGGAAACUAACGGGCUCGAGUGUGGCAGAGGGGGGUGGAAUUCCACGUGUAGCAGUGAAAUGCGUAGAGAUGUGGAGGAACACCGAUGGCGAAGGCAGCCCCCUGGGCUAACACUGACGCUGAGAAGCGAAAGCAUGGGGAGCGAACAGG